This 2904-nucleotide ribosomal RNA is filed under the name Escherichia coli DEC12A. Its description in RNAcentral is "bacterial LSU rRNA". It matches the Rfam family "Bacterial large subunit ribosomal RNA". Lineage: Bacteria; Pseudomonadati; Pseudomonadota; Gammaproteobacteria; Enterobacterales; Enterobacteriaceae. The record is from RNAcentral.
UUAAGCGACUAAGCGUACACGGUGGAUGCCCUGGCAGUCAGAGGCGAUGAAGGACGUGCUAAUCUGCGAUAAGCGUCGGUAAGGUGAUAUGAACCGUUAUAACCGGCGAUUUCCGAAUGGGGAAACCCAGUGUGAUUCGUCACACUAUCAUUAACUGAAUCCAUAGGUUAAUGAGGCGAACCGGGGGAACUGAAACAUCUAAGUACCCCGAGGAAAAGAAAUCAACCGAGAUUCCCCCAGUAGCGGCGAGCGAACGGGGAGCAGCCCAGAGCCUGAAUCAGUGUGUGUGUUAGUGGAAGCGUCUGGAAAGGCGCGCGAUACAGGGUGACAGCCCCGUACACAAAAAUGCACAUGCUGUGAGCUCGAUGAGUAGGGCGGGACACGUGGUAUCCUGUCUGAAUAUGGGGGGACCAUCCUCCAAGGCUAAAUACUCCUGACUGACCGAUAGUAAACCAGUACCGUGAGGGAAAGGCGAAAAGAACCCCGGCGAGGGGAGUGAAAAAGAACCUGAAACCGUGUACGUACAAGCAGUGGGAGCACAGAGCAAUCUGUGUGACUGCGUACCUUUUGUAUAAUGGGUCAGCGACUUAUAUUCUGUAGCAAGGUUAACCGAAUAGGGGAGCCGAAGGGAAACCGAGUCUUAACUGGGCGUUAAGUUGCAGGGUAUAGACCCGAAACCCGGUGAUCUAGCCAUGGGCAGGUUGAAGGUUGGGUAACACUAACUGGAGGACCGAACCGACUAAUGUUGAAAAAUUAGCGGAUGACUUGUGGCUGGGGGUGAAAGGCCAAUCAAACCGGGAGAUAGCUGGUUCUCCCCGAAAGCUAUUUAGGUAGCGCCUCGUGAAUUCAUCUCCGGGGGUAGAGCACUGUUUCGGCAAGGGGGUCAUCCCGACUUACCAACCCGAUGCAAACUGCGAAUACCGGAGAAUGUUAUCACGGGAGACACACGGCGGGUGCUAACGUCCGUCGUGAAGAGGGAAACAACCCAGACCGCCAGCUAAGGUCCCAAAGUCAUGGUUAAGUGGGAAACGAUGUGGGAAGGCCCAGACAGCCAGGAUGUUGGCUUAGAAGCAGCCAUCAUUUAAAGAAAGCGUAAUAGCUCACUGGUCGAGUCGGCCUGCGCGGAAGAUGUAACGGGGCUAAACCAUGCACCGAAGCUGCGGCAGCGACGCUGAUGCGUUGUUGGGUAGGGGAGCGUUCUGUAAGCCUGCGAAGGUGUGCUGUGAGGCAUGCUGGAGGUAUCAGAAGUGCGAAUGCUGACAUAAGUAACGAUAAAGCGGGUGAAAAGCCCGCUCGCCGGAAGACCAAGGGUUCCUGUCCAACGUUAAUCGGGGCAGGGUGAGUCGACCCCUAAGGCGAGGCCGAAAGGCGUAGUCGAUGGGAAACAGGUUAAUAUUCCUGUACUUGGUGUUACUGCGAAGGGGGGACGGAGAAGGCUAUGUUGGCCGGGCGACGGUUGUCCCGGUUUAAGCGUGUAGGCUGGUUUUCCAGGCAAAUCCGGAAAAUCAAGGCUGAGGCGUGAUGACGAGGCACUACGGUGCUGAAGCAACAAAUGCCCUGCUUCCAGGAAAAGCCUCUAAGCAUCAGGUAACAUCAAAUCGUACCCCAAACCGACACAGGUGGUCAGGUAGAGAAUACCAAGGCGCUUGAGAGAACUCGGGUGAAGGAACUAGGCAAAAUGGUGCCGUAACUUCGGGAGAAGGCACGCUGAUAUGUAGGUGAAGUCCCUCGCGGAUGGAGCUGAAAUCAGUCGAAGAUACCAGCUGGCUGCAACUGUUUAUUAAAAACACAGCACUGUGCAAACACGAAAGUGGACGUAUACGGUGUGACGCCUGCCCGGUGCCGGAAGGUUAAUUGAUGGGGUCAGCGCAAGCGAAGCUCUUGAUCGAAGCCCCGGUAAACGGCGGCCGUAACUAUAACGGUCCUAAGGUAGCGAAAUUCCUUGUCGGGUAAGUUCCGACCUGCACGAAUGGCGUAAUGAUGGCCAGGCUGUCUCCACCCGAGACUCAGUGAAAUUGAACUCGCUGUGAAGAUGCAGUGUACCCGCGGCAAGACGGAAAGACCCCGUGAACCUUUACUAUAGCUUGACACUGAACAUUGAGCCUUGAUGUGUAGGAUAGGUGGGAGGCUUUGAAGUGUGGACGCCAGUCUGCAUGGAGCCGGCCUUGAAAUACCACCCUUUAAUGUUUGAUGUUCUAACGUUGACCCGUAAUCCGGGUUGCGGACAGUGUCUGGUGGGUAGUUUGACUGGGGCGGUCUCCUCCUAAAGAGUAACGGAGGAGCACGAAGGUUGGCUAAUCCUGGUCGGACAUCAGGAGGUUAGUGCAAUGGCAUAAGCCAGCUUGACUGCGAGCGUGACGGCGCGAGCAGGUGCGAAAGCAGGUCAUAGUGAUCCGGUGGUUCUGAAUGGAAGGGCCAUCGCUCAACGGAUAAAAGGUACUCCGGGGAUAACAGGCUGAUACCGCCCAAGAGUUCAUAUCGACGGCGGUGUUUGGCACCUCGAUGUCGGCUCAUCACAUCCUGGGGCUGAAGUAGGUCCCAAGGGUAUGGCUGUUCGCCAUUUAAAGUGGUACGCGAGCUGGGUUUAGAACGUCGUGAGACAGUUCGGUCCCUAUCUGCCGUGGGCGCUGGAGAACUGAGGGGGGCUGCUCCUAGUACGAGAGGACCGGAGUGGACGCAUCACUGGUGUUCGGGUUGUCAUGCCAAUGGCACUGCCCGGUAGCUAAAUGCGGAAGAGAUAAGUGCUGAAAGCAUCUAAGCACGAAACUUGCCCCGAGAUGAGUUCUCCCUGACUCCUUGAGAGUCCUGAAGGAACGUUGAAGACGACGACGUUGAUAGGUCGGGUGUGUAAGCGCAGCGAUGCGUUGAGCUAACCGGUACUAAUGAACCGUGAGGCUUAACCUU